CAAAGGUUUGGUCCCAGCCUUAUUAUCAGCUUUCUCUAAACCUACACAUGCAAGUAUCAGCCCACCCGUGAGGACGCCCUUUCACCUUUCCCAGACCAAGGAGCCGGUAUCAGGCACUAACCCGCCCACAACACCUAGUCCAACCACACCCACAAGGGUCUUCAGCAGUGAUUAAUAUUGUUAAUAAGUGCUAACUUGAACCAGUUAUAGAGAAGAGAGCUGGCCAACUCGGUGCCAGCCGCCGCGGCUAAACCGCACGAGCUCAAGUUGAUAAUUCUCGGCGUUAAGCGUGAUUAAGGAUUUAUCCAACUAGGGCAAAACCUUAACUUAGCCGUGACAAGCUUGUUACCGAGAAAAACAAAACGAAAGUUGCUCUAACCUUCUUCCUGAAUACACGACAGUAGGGAAACAAACUGGGAUUAGAUACCCCACUAUGCCCCACCGUAAAAUUUACACUUACAUCAACAAACGCCCGGGUAUUACGAGCAUCAGCUUAAAACCCAAAGGACUUGACGGUGUCCCACCCAACUAGAGGAGCCUGUUCUAUAAUCGAUAACCCCCGAUAUACCCUACCCCCACCUCGCCAAUCAGCCUGUAUACCUCCGUCGCAAACUUACCAUAUGAAUGCCAAUAGUAAGUUAAAUAGUUCGUAACAAACACGUCAGGUCAAGGUGCAGCUCAUGAUGGGGAAAGCAAUGGGCUACAAUUUCUAAAAUAGAACAUACGAAAUGCUGCAUGAAACACAGCCACGAAGGCGGAUUUAGUAGUAAAAAGCGAUCAUAGAGCCCUUUUUAAUAAGGCCCUGGGACGUGUACACACCGCCCGUCACCCUCUUCAACAGCACAUAACAUGUUUUUAACAACUAUCGCACCUCAGAAGAGGCAAGUCGUAACAUGGUAAGUGUACCGGAAGGUGCACUUGGAUCAA
RNAcentral lists this non-coding RNA (927 nucleotides) under Limnonectes fujianensis (Fujian large-headed frog). Its description in RNAcentral is "12S ribosomal RNA". It matches the Rfam family "Bacterial small subunit ribosomal RNA". Lineage: Eukaryota; Metazoa; Chordata; Amphibia; Anura; Dicroglossidae. The record is from RNAcentral.